Non-coding RNA from Ceratotherium simum simum (southern white rhinoceros), 86 nucleotides. The record is from RefSeq and is a predicted model, not a curated record. NCBI's taxonomy places the organism in Eukaryota, Metazoa, Chordata, Mammalia, Perissodactyla, Rhinocerotidae.
ACCUGAGAAGAAUGUGUAUUCUGCUGGUUUUGGAUGGAAUGUUCUGUAUGUAUUUACUAAAUCCAUCUGGUCUAGUUUUUUUAAUU